Molecule: ribosomal RNA, 479 nt
Filed under: uncultured bacterium
Lineage: Bacteria
Description: partial 16S ribosomal RNA
Rfam family: Bacterial small subunit ribosomal RNA
Source: RNAcentral
GAUGAACGCUAGCGGGAGGCCUAACACAUGCAAGCCGAGCGGUAGAGUCUCUUCGGAGACUUGAGAGCGGCGCACGGGUGCGGAACACGUGUGCAACCUGCCUUUAUCUGGGGGAUAGCCUUUCGAAAGGAAGAUUAAUACCCCAUAAUAUACUGGAUGGCAUCAUCUGGUAUUGAAAACUCCGGUGGAUAGAGAUGGGCACGCGCAAGAUUAGAUAGUUGGUGAGGUAACGGCUCACCAAGUCAGCGAUCUUUAGGGGGCCUGAGAGGGUGAUCCCCCACACUGGUACUGAGACACGGACCAGACUCCUACGGGAGGCAGCAGUGAGGAAUAUUGGACAAUGGGUGAGAGCCUGAUCCAGCCAUCCCGCGUGAAGGACGACGGCCCUAGGGGUUGUAAACUUCUUUUGUAUAGGGAUAAACCUAGAUACGUGUAUCUAGCUGAAGGUACUAUACGAAUAAGCACCGGCUAACUCCGUG